RNAcentral lists this ribosomal RNA (513 nucleotides) under uncultured Paenibacillus sp. RNAcentral's name for it is "bacterial SSU rRNA". It matches the Rfam family "Bacterial small subunit ribosomal RNA", at positions 26 to 507 of the family's 1533-position model. The record is from RNAcentral. Lineage: Bacteria; Bacillati; Bacillota; Bacilli; Caryophanales; Paenibacillaceae.
UCGGCUACGAGGACGAACGCUGGCGGCAUGCCUAAUACAUGCAAGUCGAGCGGAGUUCAUUUGAAAGCUUGCUUUCAAAUGAAUUUAGCGGCGGACGGGUGAGUAACACGUAGGCAACCUGCCCUCAAGACUGGGAUAACUACCGGAAACGGUAGCUAAUACCGGAUAAUUUCUUUCCUCUCCUGAAGAGAGAAUGAAAGGCGGAGCAAUCUGCCACUUGGGGAUGGGCCUGCGGCGCAUUAGCUAGUUGGUGGGGUAACGGCUCACCAAGGCGACGAUGCGUAGCCGACCUGAGAGGGUGAACGGCCACACUGGGACUGAGACACGGCCCAGACUCCUACGGGAGGCAGCAGUAGGGAAUCUUCCGCAAUGGGCGAAAGCCUGACGGAGCAAUGCCGCGUGAGUGAUGAAGGUUUUCGGAUCGUAAAGCUCUGUUGCCAGGGAAGAACGUCCGGUAGAGUAACUGCUACCGGAGUGACGGUACCUGAGAAGAAAGCCCCGGCUAACUACGUG